This 253-nucleotide ribosomal RNA is filed under the name uncultured bacterium. RNAcentral describes it as "partial 16S ribosomal RNA". It matches the Rfam family "Bacterial small subunit ribosomal RNA", at positions 524 to 776 of the family's 1533-position model. The record is from RNAcentral.
UACGUAGGACCCAAGCGUUGUCCGGAUUUACUGGGUGUAAAGGGUGCGCAGGCGGAUGGAUAAGUCAGAGGUGAAAGUCUGCAGCUUAACUGUAGAAUUGCCUUUGAUACUGUUCAUCUUGAGUGUGGGAGAGGUUGAUGGAAUUCCAGGUGUAGCAGUGAAAUGCGUAGAUAUCUGGAAGAACACCAGUGGCGAAGGCGGUCAACUGGCCCAUAACUGACGCUCAUGCACGAAAGCGUGGGUAGCGAACAGG